GAUGAACGCUGGCGGCGUGCCUAAUACAUGCAAGUCGAGCGAACAGACGAGGAGCUUGCUCCUCUGACGUUAGCGGCGGACGGGUGAGUAACACGUGGAUAACCUACCUAUAAGACUGGGAUAACUUCGGGAAACCGGAGCUAAUACCGGAUAAUAUAUUGAACCGCAUGGUUCAAUAGUGAAAGACGGUUUUGCUGUCACUUAUAGAUGGAUCCGCGCCGCAUUAGCUAGUUGGUAAGGUAACGGCUUAUCAAGGCAACGAUGCGUAGCCGACCUGAGAGGGUGAUCGACCACACUGGAACUGAGACACGGUCCAGACUCCUACGGGAAGCAGCAGUAGGGAAUCUUCCGCAAUGGGCGAAAGCCUGACGGAGCAACGCCGCGUGAGUGAUGAAGGUCUUCGGAUCGUAAAACUCUGUUAUUAGGGAAGAACAAAUGUGUAAGUAACUAUGCACGUCUUGACGGUACCUAAUCAGAAAGCCACGGCUAACUACGUG
This 497-nucleotide ribosomal RNA is filed under the name uncultured bacterium. RNAcentral describes it as "partial 16S ribosomal RNA". It matches the Rfam family "Bacterial small subunit ribosomal RNA", at positions 28 to 507 of the family's 1533-position model. The record is from RNAcentral.